RNAcentral lists this ribosomal RNA (343 nucleotides) under uncultured soil bacterium. RNAcentral's name for it is "bacterial SSU rRNA". It matches the Rfam family "Bacterial small subunit ribosomal RNA", at positions 26 to 370 of the family's 1533-position model. The record is from RNAcentral.
AGAUUGAACGCUGGCGGCAGGCCUAACACAUGCAAGUCGAGCGGUAGAGAGGUGCUUGCACCUCUUGAGAGCGGCGGACGGGUGAGUAAUGCCUAGGAAUCUGCCUAGUGGUGGGGGAUAACGUUCGGAAACGGACGCUAAUACCGCAUACGUCCUACGGGAGAAAGCGGGGGACCUUCGGGCCUCGCGCCAUUAGAUGAGCCUAGGUCGGAUUAGCUAGUUGGUGAGGUAAUGGCUCACCAAGGCGACGAUCCGUAACUGGUCUGAGAGGAUGAUCAGUCACACUGGAACUGAGACACGGUCCAGACUCCUACGGGAGGCAGCAGUGGGGGAAUAGUUGGAC